Molecule: ribosomal RNA, 459 nt
Filed under: uncultured bacterium
Lineage: Bacteria
Description: partial 16S ribosomal RNA
Rfam family: Bacterial small subunit ribosomal RNA
Source: RNAcentral
CCUACGGGGGGCAGCAGUGAGGAAUAUUGGUCAAUGGCCGGGAGGCUGAACCAGCCAAGUCGCGUGAGGGAAGACGGCCCUACGGGUUGUAAACCUCUUUUGUCAGGGAGCAAGGUGCAGGUCGGGACCUGCUGUGAGAGUACCUGAAGAAAAAGCAUCGGCUAACUCCGUGCCAGCAGCCGCGGUAAUACGGAGGAUGCGAGCGUUAUCCGGAUUUAUGGGGUUUAAAGGGUGCGCAGGCGGAGGCACAAGUCAGCGGGAAAAUCGCGGGGCUCAACCCCGCUCCGCCGUUGAAACUGUGAUCCUUGAGUGCGCGAAGGGUAGGCGGAAUGCGUGGUGUAGCGGUGAAAUGCAUAGAUAUCACGCAGAACUCUGAUCGCGAAGGCAGCCUACCGGCGCGCAACUGACGCUCAUGCACGAAAGCGUGGGUAUCGAACAGGAUUAGAUACCCCAGUAGUC